UAAGCGGAGGAAAAGAAACCAACAGGGAUUGCCCCAGUAACGGCGAGUGAAGCGGCAACAGCUCAAAUUUGAAAUCUGGCCCCAGGCCCGAGUUGUAAUUUGCAGAGGAUGCUUUUGGCGCGGUGCCUUCCGAGUUCCCUGGAACGGGACGCCAUAGAGGGUGAGAGCCCCGUACGGUUGGACACCAAGCCUUUGUAAAGCUCCUUCGACGAGUCGAGUAGUUUGGGAAUGCUGCUCUAAAUGGGAGGUACAUUUCUUCUAAAGCUAAAUAUUGGCCAGAGACCGAUAGCGCACAAGUAGAGUGAUCGAAAGAUGAAAAGCACUUUGAAAAGAGGGUUAAACAGCACGUGAAAUUGUUAAAAGGGAAGCGCUUGUGACCAGACUUGCGUCCGGUGAAUCACCCAGCUCUCGCGGCUGGGGCACUUCGCCGGCACAGGCCAGCAUCAGCUUGCCGUCGGGGACAAAAGCUUCAGGAACGUAGCUCCUCUCGGGGAGUAUUAUAGCCUGUUGCACAAUACCCUUCGGCGGGCUGAGGUACGCGCUCCGCAAGGAUGCUGGCGUAAUGGUCAUCAGCGACCCGUCUUGAAACACGGACCAAGGAGUCAACCUUAUGUGCGAGUGUUUGGGUGUUAAACCCCUACGCGUAAUGAAAGUGAACGCAGGUGAGAGCUUCGGCGCAUCAUCGACCGAUCCUGAUGUUCUCGGAUGGAUUUGAGUAAGAGCAUAUAGGGUUGGACCCGAAAGAAGGUGAACUAUGCGUGUGUAGGGUGAAGCCAGAGGAAACUCUGGUGGAGGCUCGCAGCGGUUCUGACGUGCAAAUCGAUCGUCAAACAUGCGCAUGGGGGCGAAAGACUAAUCGAACCUUCUAGUAGCUGGUUC
This 879-nucleotide ribosomal RNA is filed under the name Colletotrichum roseum. Its description in RNAcentral is "partial large subunit ribosomal RNA". It matches the Rfam family "Eukaryotic large subunit ribosomal RNA", at positions 47 to 957 of the family's 3401-position model. The record is from RNAcentral. Lineage: Eukaryota; Fungi; Ascomycota; Sordariomycetes; Glomerellales; Glomerellaceae.